This 1251-nucleotide long non-coding RNA is filed under the name Bos taurus (domestic cattle). Its description in RNAcentral is "long non-coding RNA NONBTAT016566". Lineage: Eukaryota; Metazoa; Chordata; Mammalia; Artiodactyla; Bovidae. The record is from RNAcentral.
AGAAAGUGUUUUCUUUAGAGCAGCUGGUUUAAACCAAUGUAAAACUGACUCAAGACAGAUUAUUUCCCCGCUGGUAAUAUUUAGAGCUCAAGUGAUUUAUUAUUUAGUGAUUUUUAGGAAAAUUUAAUGAUAUGAAGUAGGUAAGCAUUUUGAUCAUGACUCUACAAUCAACAAAGGAACUUUUUUAGAGUAAAGGAACAUAAAAAGAAGGAAGACCCUGGCAUGAGGUUUCUAUUCUUUAAGAGCACAAGAUUAGUUUACUUGCUUUCCCUAAAAAUAAAUCUGAGCUGUCCUUCAAUUUAAACAUAUAUGAAUUAUGAUCAGACUUACCUGUCAGAUGAUCUCUAUUCCAAUAGAAAUUUCCUAGUAUAGAUUAUUCCUAGAAAAUCUUUCAACUUUGAAACAUUGUCUGGCAUGUAUCACAUUUGUUUAGAAAACUAUUUGAGAUAUCCGUCUUUAAAGUCCUACCUAUGACAAACCCCUAACUCUGCAUAAUCUAAUAACUCCUAAGCUUUUCUCUGCUAUUCUGAUUUCCAUCUAGUCAUCUAUUAUGUGUUAGAGGAAAAUCACAGUCCCUGCUUUGACAGGCACUUUUUCUGCUUCUUGCACUGCUUCUCCAAUAUGGCCAAGUUUAAGGAAAAAAUACUAGUACUAUAAAAAAGUCACUUAAGUUUUUAUUGUAAAACCAAAAUUCAUACAUAUUCAAAUGUAGACUACUUUCCAUCCUGGAUGAUGUCUAUGACCUAAUAUCUGAUCUGUUAAAGACAGAUAAUGAUGAUCAGAGUCCUCUUUUUAAUGACUAGGUUGUAAGGAGGUUACCUAAUUUUAGAAGAAGAAACCAAGGUAUGUUAACUGGUAUAGAAUGAAACUGGGAUAGUUCAAGUUAAAAAAAAUAAGAUAUUAAGAUGAAUUACUUAUGUGAUUUACUAUGUAUGAAAAUAACUUUUUUUGGUGGAGAGGAAGGUGGAUAAGUACAUAAACACCUAGGCCAUGUUAGAGUCAUCACUGGAUAGUAUUUCUACAGUGCCUCACUCUUAGAGAGCUUAAUAAAAUUAAUAAAUCAAAUGAAUUAAUGGUUGUAGUCUGCUGGGCUCUUGUUCUGCGCUCUGUCUGGUUUCUAAGAAAGCUUCCUGAUUGCUUCCAAAAGACUGGGAUAAUCAUGUCCUCCACUGUGGUGAUUGCUGGGAAAACUGAAGCUUAUGUGGCCAGUGCAGUAAGGAAAGAUUUCUCAACACCCAGAAGACUGCAACA